ACCCUUAGAUAACCCCUAACCUUGAAGGGAGACCUAAUAAAAAAACACACACUCCUUUCUGAGAAAACCAGCAACCACGCCGUUUACCCUUCGACCAUCUCUCUCGCUCUCUCAUCUUCAGAAGCUAAGAGAUCAGAUUCCCCAUUAAAACCUUACCUUACACAGACAGACGCAAAAAAAAACCUUUCUUCUUGAACCAGCAAAGCAAAACCCCAAACCUGUCCAUCUUCUUCAACCUAACACCCUUAACACACCUUAAAAAAAUGUUGGACCUUCUUCUUCUUUCGAUUUUCAGCAGCCAACGUCAAAAAAACUCUCCAGCCGCUGCUGCUUCUUCAGCACACCACCGAACCAUCGAAGAACAGAUAUAGACCUAGCAGCUGAAAAAGAAAACGCAACAGCAUUAAGAAAUUGGCAGCAACAUAACCAUUCUAGCCAUCUCCCCUCCCAUCGCCGCUGCUUCUCAUCUCGAACACACACACACAAAGAAUCGAAAAAAAAAUAGUUUUCUGCCGUUCAAUUUUCACUCAUGGAGUUUGUUUGAGCGCUGAGUCGUAUCGUGGUUCAGGGGUGUUUGUUCGAGGACGAGGUUCGUGGUUCCGAGACCGAUUUGCUGUCGUCUUCUCGUUCAGACUUUAGACUCAAAUCUCACUCGACUAAGUUGCUGUAAUUGCUGAAAUCCUAUUAAUUGAAAGCUCUCAUUGAGGUAUGAGUGAACUACCUGGUGUUGUGCUUAAGGAAGAACAGCCCGUGGUUACGGCUACGCUUGUUGGAUUCAGUGGACGUGGUAGAUUUGGUGGCGCAGGUGGUAGACGUGGUGGGUAUUGAUAAUGGGUCUGUAGUUUUUUUGUUUAAAUGCGAUUGUGUUGGUUCUUUUUGGUGUUAUGAGAAUAAGUGCGUCUGUUAAAUUCUAGGCUUGAAGUUAUCUGAUUGUGGUUCUAAAAUUUGUGUGAUGAUUUUCCGGAUAGGGGAACGUUUAGGUGCAUUUUGAAUUUAUUAUCGUGAUUAUGUA
This is a long non-coding RNA of Nicotiana attenuata, 1012 nucleotides long. RefSeq lists it as uncharacterized. Lineage: Eukaryota; Viridiplantae; Streptophyta; Magnoliopsida; Solanales; Solanaceae. The transcript has 2 exons. The record is from RefSeq and is a predicted model, not a curated record.